This 244-nucleotide ribosomal RNA is filed under the name uncultured bacterium. RNAcentral's name for it is "partial 16S ribosomal RNA". It matches the Rfam family "Bacterial small subunit ribosomal RNA", at positions 90 to 334 of the family's 1533-position model. The record is from RNAcentral.
ACUGAGCGGCGGACGGGUGAGUAACGCGUGGGUAACCUGCCUCAUACAGGGGGAUAACAGUUGGAAACGGCUGCUAAUACCGCAUAAGCGCACAGUACCGCAUGGUACGGUGUGAAAAACUCCGGUGGUAUGAGAUGGACCCGCGUUUGAUUAGGUAGUUGGUGGGGUAACGGCCUACCAAGCCGACGAUCAGUAGCCGACCUGAGAGGGUGACCGGCCACAUUGGGACUGAGACACGGCCCAA